RNAcentral lists this ribosomal RNA (254 nucleotides) under uncultured bacterium. Its description in RNAcentral is "partial 16S ribosomal RNA". It matches the Rfam family "Bacterial small subunit ribosomal RNA", at positions 524 to 776 of the family's 1533-position model. The record is from RNAcentral.
UACGUAGGGGGCAAGCGUUGUCCGGAUUUAUUGGGCGUAAAGAGCGUGUAGGCGGCCUGAAAGGUCAGCUGUGAAAACUCGAGGCUCAACCUCGAGACGUCGGUUGAAACCAUCUGGCUAGAGUCCGGAAGAGGAGUGUGGAAUUCCCGGUGUGAGCGGUGAAAUGCGCAGAUAUCGGGAAGAACACCCGUGGCGAAGGCGGCACUCUGGGACGGUACUGACGCUGAGACGCGAAAGCGUGGGGAGCGAACAGG